CUUGCGAUGGAGUGGUGUCCCGUCCUGGGUGUGUCCCCUCCCCCUCCAGCCCUGCGCCCUAUGGUGCUGGGUUAGGCUCCAGUCCACUGCAACCCCGCUUGGGACAAGAGGUUUCAGACUGUGUGUGAUGUGAUGAAUAAACGGCAAAGUAUGAUUCAUGUUACAUGUUGCAACGCCGGGAUGUUGACUAAUUACUGCUGGUAUUUGAGCAAAAAAUAAUACAUGCUCUACUUGCUGGUUAGGAGUGAAUGGAGUUGUUAUGCUAGCCUGAACGUCGCACAGCCCAACUUCUGGUGAAAAGUAAGUGUGCGACCCGGCCGACCGGGAGCCUGAGUGUAAAGCGCGGCGGAGAAGCGCUACACGUCACGUGGAAGGAGCACAAAGCGAGUUUCUCGAGAAAGUGACACCACGACGAGGGACAUUUCCUCGCGAGGGAGUGGAAAUUCCCCAACUGAUCCUCGCAUUGUUCCUGUUUCGAGCCGCGCGCCUCCACGUUUCUCCUCACAUUCUGCUGCUGCUUUGCGGAGGAGCAGUGUGUCCAGCUCUCUCUCUCUCUCUCUCACACACACACACACAUACAUACAUACAUACAUACACACGGAAGGAGCUCCGCGAGCGCGUGCAGGUAUAAAACGGCGCUUUUGCAGGUGGUUCCAAGCCUUCUUCACCCGCACUGUGUGUGAACGAGCCACAGACUGGAGGCGUUCUCCACCCCUUCCUCCUUCUCCGAAAGCAUGACUGGUCUGCUAAAGAUCUUCCUGCUGGGGACUUUUGUGUCCGUUGCGCUGACGCUCUUCGCCUUGGUGGACUCGGUGGGGGGUCUCAUGUACGAACAUGGACGGGAUGUGCGCGACUUCUGGACUCCGAGUGAAGCAGCUCCCCCAAGGGUCCGAGCGGAGGGCUGUCGAAGUAACAAAGGCAUCGGAUCGUGACCCUUUUAUAUUAACAGAGAUAACGAUUCUGGCAUGCAUGUAACACAGUUACAUUGUUGUGACACACGUGUUUAACACGUUCUUAGUGUCUUUAAUUAAUGUGUCACUGCAGUGACACGCAGUUAAAGUGUGAAACACGUCUGUAGUGUUCAAUAUUUUUCUCAGUGUUACACUGUUUUCUUCGAAAAUGUUUGAAAUGUUGGUAUCCAUGUAUUCCAUUAGUAGAACGGUGUCGAGAAUCAAUGGGACUGAAAAUUCAUGAACUGUCUUACUGUAUAACUGAAGUAUGUAGUGCAGCAAUAUAAUAACGGGUGUUUAUAAAGAAAGAUAGACUUCACGUUUCAAAAUAUCUGUCGUACUUUAAGGAAAUUUUCUGCAGGCUAAAACUAUCUUAAAAAGCUAGUAUUUUCUUUGCGUGCAGUUGUUCAUAAAUCUGUGGUAAACUGUGGGAUGAGGCACUAGCGCAGUUUUAUUAUAAUGACACGUGUCGAUCACGCGCCCCUUAACGACCCCGUUAUCCAGUAGCACCAUCGGGGAAAAACGCUACAAUAUUAAAACGUACAGAAUAUAAGAUGUAAUGUAUAUAAUAUGGUAAAACAGUGUCUUUGGGACUCAAAUGUUUUAUUUGUUUGGCAGCCACCCAUCUUCAGUAGGAAUGGUAUUUCAAGAACGAAGAAAAAGUAAUUCGAUAGUGAGUGAAAAUUUUGAAAAUGUAUUUCAAAAUUUUGAGAACAAUGUGUACAGUCUGUGCAGGCGAUAGGCUUGGUUGUUACUUUACAUUUCCUCAAGUUUCUGUGUAUGUAGAAUAAUCAAUGGCAAUUGCAUUGAUUGUGAAAAUAAAAAUCUCUAUAAUCUUGCUAGUGUCA
This 1798-nucleotide long non-coding RNA is filed under the name Scleropages formosus (Asian bonytongue). RNAcentral's name for it is "lncRNA (ENSSFOG00015029218.1)". Lineage: Eukaryota; Metazoa; Chordata; Actinopteri; Osteoglossiformes; Osteoglossidae. The record is from RNAcentral.